This 281-nucleotide ribosomal RNA is filed under the name uncultured Pelotomaculum sp. Its description in RNAcentral is "partial 16S ribosomal RNA". It matches the Rfam family "Bacterial small subunit ribosomal RNA", at positions 1098 to 1382 of the family's 1533-position model. The record is from RNAcentral. Lineage: Bacteria; Bacillati; Bacillota; Clostridia; Eubacteriales; Desulfotomaculaceae.
AGCCCUACGUUAGUUGCUAACGCGUGAAGGCGAGCACUCUAGACGAACUGCCGUUGACAAAACGGAGGAAGGUGGGGAUGACGUCAAAUCAUCAUGCCCCUUAUGUUCUGGGCUACACACGUGCUACAAUGGCCGGUACAGACGGACGCAAAGCCGCGAGGCGGAGCAAAUCCGAAAAAGCCGGUCUCAGUUCGGAUUGCAGGCUGCAAUUCGCCUGCAUGAAGUCGGAAUCGCUAGUAAUCGCUGAUCAGCAGGCAGCGGUGAAUACGUUCCCGGGCCUU